GGCGUGCUUAACACAUGCAAGUCGAACGAUGAAGGGAGCUUGCUCCUGGAUUAGUGGCGAACGGGUGAGUAACACGUGAGUAACCUGCCCUUAACUCUGGGAUAAGCCUGGGAAACUGGGUCUAAUACCGGAUAUGACUCCUCAUCGCAUGGUGGGGGGUGGAAAGCUUUUUGUGGUUUUGGAUGGACUCGCGGCCUAUCAGCUUGUUGGUGAGGUAAUGGCUUACCAAGGCGACGACGGGUAGCCGGCCUGAGAGGGUGACCGGCCACACUGGGACUGAGACACGGCCCAGACUCCUACGGGAGGCAGCAGUGGGGAAUAUUGCACAAUGGGCGCAAGCCUGAUGCAGCGACGCCGCGUGAGGGAUGACGGCCUUCGGGUUGUAAACCUCUUUCAGUAGGGAAGAAGCGAAAGUGACGGUACCUGCAGAAGAAGCGCCGGCUAACUACGUGCCAGCAGCCGCGGUAAUACGUAGGGCGCAAGCGUUAUCCGGAAUUAUUGGGCGUAAAGAGCUCGUAGGCGGUUUGUCGCGUCUGCCGUGAAAGUCCGGGGCUCAACUCCGGAUCUGCGGUGGGUACGGGCAGACUAGAGUGAUGUAGGGGAGACUGGAAUUCCUGGUGUAGCGGUGAAAUGCGCAGAUAUCAGGAGGAACACCGAUGGCGAAGGCAGGUCUCUGGGCAUUAACUGACGCUGAGGAGCGAAAGCAUGGGGAGCGAACAGGAUUAGAUACCCUGGUAGUCCAUGCCGUAAACGUUGGGCACUAGGUGUGGGGGACAUUCCACGUUUUCCGCGCCGUAGCUAACGCAUUAAGUGCCCCGCCUGGGGAGUACGGCCGCAAGGCUAAAACUCAAAGGAAUUGACGGGGGCCCGCACAAGCGGCGGAGCAUGCGGAUUAAUUCGAUGCAACGCGAAGAACCUUACCAAGGCUUGACAUGAACCGGAAACACCUGGAGACAGGGUGCCCCGCUUGCGUCGGUUUACAGGUGGUGCAUGGUUGUCGUCAGCUCGUGUCGUGAGAUGUUGGGUUAAGUCCCGCAACGAGCGCAACCCUCGUUCUAUGUUGCCAGCACGUGAUGGUGGGGACUCAUAG
This 1090-nucleotide ribosomal RNA is filed under the name Arthrobacter sp. F+C/M7. Its description in RNAcentral is "bacterial SSU rRNA". It matches the Rfam family "Bacterial small subunit ribosomal RNA", at positions 41 to 1144 of the family's 1533-position model. Lineage: Bacteria; Bacillati; Actinomycetota; Actinomycetes; Micrococcales; Micrococcaceae. The record is from RNAcentral.